RNAcentral lists this ribosomal RNA (490 nucleotides) under uncultured bacterium. RNAcentral's name for it is "partial 16S ribosomal RNA". It matches the Rfam family "Bacterial small subunit ribosomal RNA", at positions 30 to 507 of the family's 1533-position model. The record is from RNAcentral.
AUUGAACGCUGGCGGCAGGCCUAACACAUGCAAGUCGAACGGUAACAGGAAACAGCUUGCUGUUUCGCUGACGAGUGGCGGACGGGUGAGUAAUGUCUGGGAAACUGCCUGAUGGAGGGGGAUAACUACUGGAAACGGUAGCUAAUACCGCAUAACGUCGCAAGACCAAAGAGGGGGACCUUCGGGCCUCUUGCCAUCAGAUGUGCCCAGAUGGGAUUAGCUAGUAGGUGGGGUAACGGCUCACCUAGGCGACGAUCCCUAGCUGGUCUGAGAGGAUGACCAGCCACACUGGAACUGAGACACGGUCCAGACUCCUACGGGAGGCAGCAGUGGGGAAUAUUGCACAAUGGGCGCAAGCCUGAUGCAGCCAUGCCGCGUGUAUGAAGAAGGCCUUCGGGUUGUAAAGUACUGUCAGCGGGGAGGAAGGGAGUAAAGUUAAUACCUGUGCUCAUUGACGUUACCCGCAGAAGAAGCACCGGCUAACUCCGUG